CUCUUCCGGCCAUCUGCACUCAGGCAAACUGAUCACCUUCUUGUCCAACAGGUCAUCCAACAUGGCAACCACAUCAGAGUCAGGGAAUGGAUAAGUCUUCUCUUUAAGCUCCUUCAAAGUGCGUCUACGCAUCUCUUGAUCACGAAAAGCUUCGGUUUGAAUCGUUUUGCCUCGUGUGGAGAUUUUGACGGGAGAUGUGUUGACUGUCAUUGCUUCCUUGGUGGAUUUCCACGUAGCCUUCUCCACCUUUGUCUCAAGAAUUUUGUCGUUCUUGUAGUCGGCGAUCGGUUCCUUCUUCCCAUGAUGGGUGAUGCUCAACUCCAUGUCAUGGGCGUGGGUGGCCAAUUCCUCGAAGGUCCGUGGUUUAAUGCCUUGAAGGAUGUAUUGCAAACCUCAUUGCAUGCCUUGGAUGCACAUCUCGAUUGAAGAGGUCUCCGAGAGCCUAUCUUUGCAGUCGAGGCUUAGAGUGCGCCAUCUGUUGAUGUAGUCAAUGACCGGCUCAUCUUUCCAUUGCUUCAUACUUGUGAGCUCCAACAUGCUUACAGUGCGGCGGGUGUUGUAGAAGCGGUUGAGGAAUUCCCGCUCCAAUUGCUCCCAGCUGUUGAUGGACUCAGGCUCUAGGUCCGUGUACCACUCAAAUGCGUUUCUUUUCAGCGAGCGCAUAAACUGCUUGGCGAAGUAGUCCCCCUCCGUCCCCGCGUUGUUGCAAGUUUUGACGAAAUGUGCAACGUGCUGCUUUGGGUUUCCUUUUCCAUCAAACUGCAUGAACUUUGGUGGUUGAUAUCCCAUCGGCAUCUUUAGGGCAUCAAUCUUCUUUGAAUAAGGCUUUGAGUACAACCCGGAGGUAUUUGAGCUCCCUUCGUACUAUGCCUUGACGGUGCUGGCAAUCAUCUCUUGCAACUGUUGGAUAGAAAGAGAUCCCAUGAGUGCCGCUUCUUGGUCUGGCUCCGGCUUCACAUCGAUUUUCUCCACCGUAGGCUCAUCUUCUGGGUUAGGGUUCUCGCUGUCCUGUGGCUCCAGUUGACUGAUGAGUGCAGCGAUUUGCAAGUCUUUUUCUUCCACAGUUCGGGUUAGCCUUGCGAUUGCUUCAUUCAUUUGAGCCAGUUGUUCUUCGAUGGAGGUAACGCCGAUGGUCAUGACUUGUGCAACCAAUAGACGUGACUUUCCUUUAGACAUCCAAGAUGCUGAAGAAGAACGUCAUUGGUUGUUUUGGGAUGUCAUCUUGUGUGCCUCAGCAACAUGCUUUGGUGCCCCCAGCGAGGUCAGGUUGAUGACAGACUCACACCUUUGAUGCUCCCUUUGCUCUUUUAGCGGCACCAACUUUGAAGUGGCAUGUUAAGGAGCGGUUGUGGUGCUAAUGGAUUGUCCAUUUGCGGCAGAAGUGCUUAGGAUCCUUCCCUCAGUGAUUGCGAGAACGGCUUGUCCCUUGCUUGAUGCCAUUGAUUUUGAGGUGUGUUUGGAUUCCUUAAACGGAGAAAGAUAUGAGAGGUAGAGAUUGUCCCACCGGGCGUGCCAAUUUGUGAACACGAAAAUUUCCUGAAACGAAAGAGACAAGAACAACGUGCACAAAAUAAUAUUUUGGUGUUAAUGGAUUUGUUGGGUUACGAUCUCUUUUAACUUGAUCCUCUGAUUCGAUCUCCGUAAGGUGUUGAUUUAUGGAUGUUUCGUUGAUCUAAGGGCCGUCGAGGCUUGAUCUUGGAUGAACUGUUGGAAGUUUCUUCAAGGGGCCGUGGGCUUGAUCUUUGAAGGUGGAUUUGAGCGGAUCUUCAAGGAGCCGUUGGGGCUUGAUCUUGAGGAUGAGUGUUUCUUCAAGGGCCGUUAAGGCUUGAUCUUGAAUAACGGUGAUGAACGGAUCUUCAAGGGCUUUUGGGCUUGAUCUUGAAGAACGGUUGGAUGUGUGGAUUUGUUGAUGUUGUUGAUCCAAGGGCCGUCGGGGCUUGAUCUUGGAAGAACGAUGAACGAAGAACGAAGAACACUUUCUUCAAAGGCCGUCGGGGCUUGAUCUUGAAUUGGUGAUUGUUGAUCCAAGGGCCGUCGGGGCUUGAUCUUGGAAGAACGGUGAACGAAGAAUGAAGAACGAAGAACACUUUCUUCAAGGGCCGUCGGGGCUUGAUCUUGAAUUGGUGAUUGUUAAUCAAAGGGCCGUCGGGGCUUGAUCUUGGAAGAACGAUGAACGAAGAACGAAGAAGGCUUUCUUGAUUCUUCGGGAUGAACGGAUGAUGAACAAUGAACACUUUCUUCAAGGGCCAUCGGGGCUUGAUCUUGAAUUGGUGGAAGUUCUUCAGGGCCUUUGGGGCUUGAUCUUGAAGGUGGAUGAUUGUUGAUCCAAGGGCCGUCGGGGCUUGAUCUUGGGAUGAACAGUUGUGUGGAUUUGUUGAACACUUUCUUCAAGGGCCGUCGAUGCUUGAUCUUGAAUUGGUGGAAGUUCGUCAAGGGCCGUUGGGGCUUGAUCUUGAAGAAGGAUUUGACGAAGAACGAAGAGAGCUUUCUUGAUCCUUCGGAAUUUGCUUGAAUUUGGGAGGUUGGAUGCUUGAAAGCUUUAGAGUUUCAAAGCUUCAAGGAUUUUGGAUGUGUGGGGAGUAUUCUCUUACAUUUUGGGAGUAGAGAAAUGUAUUUGUGAAUUGGUUUUUGAUACCUUGAUGUAGAAGCCUAUUUAUAGGCUUUGAGAAUGAAUCACCACCACAAAAUAUUUUUUUCUUUUCCAAGCACCAUUGCCUAAUUUCCCACUUAAUACAAUUUUAAACUUGAAGUGGUAAUUUUAUGGCCUAAUUUUCCACUUAAUAUCAUUUUAAACUUGAUAUGUGCAUGCUUUGUCAUUGCCCAAAAUGAGAAGAAAACCUUGUUUUGAUCUUCAAUGGAUUGAAAUGUGCUUUGCCUUGUCAUUGCCCAAAAUGAGAAGAAAAACUUGUGUAAUCCUCCAAGGGUAUUUCUUUUUAUUUUGUUGAGUCACACACCAUGUGUACAAUUUGUAUGACACGUGGCAUAUGCCAUAUAUGCCUUGACACGUCAAAAUUUUAAUGCGUUGGUGAACAUUUAUUUCACCGCAAUUUCGAUGUCUACAAUUUCAUUUCUUGUGAAUAAUGUUUAUCCUGUGUUCUGUCCAAUCGCGUAUUAAAAAAUGUGUGAAGUUUGGAUUAACCACACUCUUUUAGAAUUUCCUUUAUUUACCACUUUUUGAGAAUUUCCAAUAAGACUGGGUGAGUCUCCGCUGAGAAUUUCCUCAACUAACACCACACUACUUGAGGGAUAAUUUGUUAUAUCUUUGAAUAAAGAAUAAAACAGUUUCCUACUUUUGAAGGUACUAUUAACUUACACUAUAUUUGGAUGAAGGUCAAACUUUAUAAAUUGACAUACACCAAAUUCUUUGUUUGGAUUCAUAAACAUAUAAAUUUAGAAUUUCCGCGUGGAAAAAAAAAAUACUUAGAAUUUGAGACCUCCAAUUCUCAAAUUGAAAGUUUAAAAAUAAUAAAUUCCGUAUUCAAUUCAAUUGUUCUUUUAGGUUAACCAAAUAAGAAAAUUCACAAAUUCUAAAAUAUAAAAUCUCAUCAUUUCAAUUUCCGUCAUUUUAAAAUUCCUUAGUAAUAUUAAAUUUCUUCAUCCAAACAUAGUGUUAAGAAAUUUUUUAAAGAUACACUAUUUACACUCAUUUUUAUUUCUUACACAUUUAUUAACUUUGUCCAUUGAUUUCUUCAAUUCAUUUUGCCAGUUAUACAAAAAUUGAGAACAGUAUUUAUGAAUUAAAAAUACAUUUGUAGAUGUCACUACCAAAUUUUUAUUCCUAAUUCAAGAAAAUCUUAUCCAUAUAUGAUUGCCCUUGCCCACUUUAAAUGGGUGCCAUCACUUUACGAUAGAGCAAUCCUAACCGUCCACCUAGGUAAGCAUAACUGGCGAUGCAUGUCGCAAGGGGACCGCAUUGCACAAUAUAAUUAUACUAGUUGAUAAGACAAGUGAUGUCAAUCAAUAAAUUAUUUCAUUAAAACUUAGUUGUAUGUAUCAUAUGUUGUAAUGUAGGGUGUAUGAUAUGCUGACGCUGUAAAAAAAUGUAACCUUUUUAAUAUUACUCAUAAUAGUAAGACUUACCAGUAUUAGGAUGUUAUCAGUGGAAUGAGAAUCCUCUCCAGAUCUUUUUUGUGAGCUAUUAUUUGUAUUUAAUUUUAAAUAUAAAAAAUUAAAAUAAUUUAUGACGGCAGUGAUUCACAUGAUCUUCACAAAGAGAAUCCAAAUAAUCUUAAUUUAUAUCAGUGUGUCUAGAUAACAUGAUCGAGCCCCUUUACUUUUACCCUAUUUAGUAUUUUACAUUUGAACCUGUAAAUAUUCGAUUUUUCUUUGGUGCAACCGAGCACCAAAUAUAGAUUUUUUUUCACUUUUAUAUAAUGAUAAAUAAAGGGCAAUUGGCAGAUUUGAAUUCCAUUCGGAUUGGUCAAAAAUCAUUUUAAAUUGUUUUAUUUAAAAUUAAACACAUAUAGUACUUAAUAAAAAUUAGUCGUACAAUAUACGAUAAACAGAUAUAAUGUAAGGACCUUUAUGAUCUUCACAAAAAAGAUCCAAAGGUUGUGUAGCUGUUUCAAAAGGAUAAUACUCACUUUUGAUUAGUUCAAUGAAAUUUUAAACAUGUUUUAUUGUUUUAAAAAAUAAUAAACAUAUUUAUUAAUGUUUGUUUUACUUUAAAAAAUAAGCAGCACUUGACAACAUUUGAUUGUGCUAAAUAAAAAAUGAGUGACCACUUAGUACUACAGUCUUAUGAUAUUUUUCUUCAUUUGAAAGUGAGAGGUUUUAAGUUCGAAUCUCGUGGAUGACGAAUUUGAUAUCAAAUUAGAUUGCUCACUAUGUGGCUUAGCCGAACUCUCAUUUCCUUUAAUGUAAAAAUAUUGAUGUAUUCAAAAAAAUAAAAAGUGACUAUAGAGGACACUCAAUCUCAGCUGUAUGAUUAAAUCAGACGGUAAGAAAAAUUCUGCAAGCAUACUCGGUUACAUUAAUUGAAGAAAAAAUGGGUAAAUAUUGGGCACCAACGUUAUAAAUACCCUCCACCAUGCACCCAACUCCCUCACACCAUCACAACCCACGUUACAAAUCCUCCUCCUCAUCAUAACCAUUCUGUUUUCCGCAUAAUAUCCAAAAACCUAUCAUGUCUGAAGAGAAACACCACCGCGGUCUCUUCCACCACCACAAGGAUGAAGACAAACCCUCAGACUACCCUCAGUCUGGCUACUCUGAUGAAGGACGUCCCGGCGGCCUCGGUGGUGGUUACGGCGACACCAAUGAUUAUUCUGGUGAAGGACGUACCGGCGGCCUAGGUGGUGGCUAUGGCGACACCAAUGCUUAUUCUGGUGAAGGACGUCCCGGCGGCUAUGGCGGCUAUAACGAGACCACUGCUUACUCUGAGGAAAGAGUUGAAAGACCCGGCGGUGGCCGGUACAGUGAGACUACUGCGGCAUAUGGCAGCACCACCACUCAUGAAUCUGAACUUGAUUACAAGAAGGAGGAGAAGCACCACAAGCAUCUCGAGCACCUCGGCGAGGCCGGUGUAGCUGCUGCCGGCGCUUUUGCCUUGGUACGUAUUGUAUUUUAACCCACCUCUAUAUAUAUAUAUAUUAGAAUAAUGCUAAUAAGACCAAAUUUUGAAAACUAAAUGAUGUGGUUGUUGAUAAUGAACUUAUUACUCAAGUCUUGAUUAACAUGCUUAUUUUCUAAUAGUGACACAUUAUUUGGUUUAGAAAUUUGGUCUUCCUAACUUUAUCAUUCUCAAAAUUUUCAUGAUUUUGAUAGGGUAAUACGGGAGAUCAAAAUUUCUAAACCAAAUUUGCAAACCAAUAGAUGAUUGGAUUAUUAAUUAAGUAUCGAUUGUUUGUUUCUUAUUAACGACAUAUCAUUUGAUUUACAAUUUAGUUAAAAAAAAUUUAUUCUUUCUGUCAUAUCCUUUUGAAUAUUUGAUCACUUUACUCUUUAUCACUUUACCCUUGAUCACUUUACCCAUACUCUUGCAACCGAAUCACCGUCCUCCUCCUUAACCUUCAUUUUUUUGUCUUACAGUACUCCAAUCUAUCAACUCUGUCCAUUGCAACUUUAAUUGUGAAGAAAAUUAAAGUCCUAUCGUAAAAUUAAUUAGUGAUAUGGAGAGUUGCGCAAUUAUUGAUGGACUAGGUAGGUAAGAUACGGAAUCAAAGUCUACCAUUAACAAUGGACGGAAUUGAUGAACCAUAUAGGUAUGUAAGAUACGGAAUCAAAGUCCUCAUGUAAAUGGUACAGUUGCAAUCAGGAGAAGAAAUGAGUUAACUGAUACCUUCGUAAUAGUUCAUGUAGAGUUUUGAUAUUAUUAAGCCUUAACCACCUGAUCUUAUAUAUACGAGGACAAAUCUAAUCAAAUAUGUGUUAAUUUCAAGGUUUGUUUUACAUUGAUGUGAGAUCGAUGCUAGCAAGAUAUAUAACUUAUGUCAGUUUCUAUAUGAUGUGUGUAGCAUGAGAAGCACAAUGAAAAGAAAGACCCAGAGCAUGCCCACAGGCACAAGAUAGAAGAGGAGAUUGCUGCAGCAGCUGCAGUUGGUUCGGGUGGAUUUGCCUUCCAUGAGCAUCAUGAGAAGAAAGAGACAAAGGAAGAAGAGGAAGAGGCUUAU
RNAcentral lists this long non-coding RNA (6611 nucleotides) under Malus domestica (apple). RNAcentral describes it as "long non-coding RNA (MDOM_LNC004302)". Lineage: Eukaryota; Viridiplantae; Streptophyta; Magnoliopsida; Rosales; Rosaceae. The record is from RNAcentral.